GGGGGGAGGCCAGAUCCUGGGCUGUGUCCCGGCGCCCUGUGCUCCGGGGCCUGCGCUGUUGGAUUCGCGCUCCCGGGCCGCGCAACCCUCU
This is a non-coding RNA of Canis lupus familiaris (dog), 91 nucleotides long. The record is from Rfam. Lineage: Eukaryota; Metazoa; Chordata; Mammalia; Carnivora; Canidae.